AUCUUCUCCUGUUGCAAGAACAAACUCACUCAGGUUAUAGCAAAAGAGGCAAGAAAACUCUUGGAAAUAAGGGUGGCAUGGCCUUGACACUGGGCCAUUUUGCCAAGAGAACAAAUCACGUUAGGCUCUGAGCAAUGGUCCUAGGGUCCUCGGAGCCCACCGGCUGAACUACCAGCCAAGAGGUCUGGAGAAUGUCUUCUCAUGAGGGGACGUCUACUCAUCCUGAUCCUGUUGCUGUAUCAUCAACAUGUAAUCCCUCUGGAGCAUGUAGGGUCAUCAGCAUGGCUCCUACCAUCCUACAGAAGACCUUGCCUGUUGGGAGUUCCUGAAGCGCUGAGAUCUGAGGGGAAGGUCACCUGUCAGUCCUGCUGUGAGUGAGUAGAAGCCACAGAGCACAGGCCAGUGAAGGCAGGGCUGUGCUUUGUGUGAUCAGUGUCAUCAACAUGGAGCCGGGCGAGGAUAAUGACAGCUCUUCAUUCUAAAAGCAAGGAAGGUCCAAAGAAGACAGACAAAUGGCCAACAAACAUUUGCCAAGAUGCUCAACAUCAUUAAUCAUUAGGGCAAAUGCAAAACAAAGCUGCAUGGAGAUGACACCUCACACCCAUCAGGACGGUUACUAUCAGAAAACAGAAAACAACCAGUGAGAGUGAAGAUGCUCAAACCUUUGUACAUUGUUGGUGGGAAUGUGAAAUGGUAUAGCCACUAUGGGAAACAGUGUGGCAAUUCCUGAAAAAAUAAAAAUUUGAAUUACCAUACAAUUUAGCAAUUCUAUUUCUGGGUAUAUAUAUUCAAAAGCAUUGAAAGCAGGGUCUUGAAGAGAUGUUUGUACACCUGUAUUCGUGGCAGCAUUCUCUACAAUAGCCAAAAGGUGGAAGCAACUCAAUUAUCCCUCAACGGGUGAAUGAAUAAACAAAAUGUGGUCUAUAAACAAAAAGGAAUAUUAUUCAGCCUUGAAAAAGGAAGGACAUCUUGUCAUAUACUACAGCAUGGAUGAACCUUGCGGGCAUUAUGCUAAGUGAAAUGAGCCAGUCACAAAAGGACAAAUACCGUAUGACUCCACUUCUACCGGGUGCCUGGAGUAAUCACAUUCCUAGGGACAGAAAAUGGAAAGGUGAUGGCCAGGGAAUGGAGGGAGAAGGAAGUAGGGAGUUAGUAUUCAAUAGGCACAAAGUUUCAGUUUUGCUAAAUCAAAAGAAUUCUGUGGCUGGAUGAUGGUGAUGCCUGCACAAGAAGAGAGUAUUUAAUAGCACUGAACUGUACACUUAAGAGGGUUAAAUGAUGAAUUUUAUGUUAGGCUUAUCUUGCCACAAUAAGAAAAGAAUCGAGGGACAAAGGCAGAUACUAGAAAUUCAGGAAGUUGGAGAUGCAGGAGAAAGGUGUCUCUGCUCCCAAGUGACAUGGCUUCUCUCCCCUUCUCCAGGGGAAGCUCCUCCUCCACUGUGGGUUUCUCACCCUCCUGAAGUCAGGGGACUACUCUCAGGGGACUCUUGUCAAGGUUCACGUUAACCUAUUUUUCACAUGGAAAAAUAUGUUCUCCAAAGAGAAGUGGGACACAUGAAAUGAUUGAGAGGCCCUGGCACUCUGAGCCCGAAUACAUAACAAAGCCAGUUCUAUGCUGAUCCCUCCUCUAACCCCUGCUGGGAGCCUGCAGCCUGGGGUUAGGAACGGUGUCCUCAUGGAUCAGGACAAAUCCCCAGAUGACCUUUGCCUUAACCUCCUCCACCCCAGCUCUUUGGGGUUGCUGGAGAUCUGGGGCUUUCAUUACUUAGAGGGAGAAAUGAAUCCUGCCAUUGUAUUCUGGUAAUAACCUGUCAGACUCGUGAAAAGCCCUUGCUAGAGGACUUGGGAAACACUGCAAUGUUAUUAUGUGUGAAGAAAGACCACUUCGUUUCUCCUGUGCUGGAGACAGACGUGUUUGUUAACCUUUAGAGGCCCUUAGCACAGAAAUACAAGCAUGGCACCCUCCUCCCCAUCCUCCAAAAGAAAUUAAAUCAUAAAAUAGAGGGAAAAAAAAAAAAAACCAGAACAAGUAUAAGGAAAUCCACCAAUGGUCUUAUUUCUUCCCACAAUGACUUCUUAGAUAAGCUUUUAAAAAUAUGUUUAAAUUAAUAGACUAUUGUUGGAGCAGUUUUAGGUUUAUAGAAACAUUUAGCAAAAAGUACAGAGUUCCUGUCUCUCCCUCAGCACCAUUCCCCACAGCUUCCUCUACUGCUAACGUCUUGUAUUGGUGCUACAUUUGUUACUACUGAUGAGACAGUGGUAACACAUUAUUAUUAACUAAAGUCCACAGAUCACAUUGGGCUUCACACUGUGCGUGGACAUUCUGUGGGUUUCGAUCAAUGCAUAAAGAGAGACAUCCACCAUCAUAGUAUCCUACAGAGUGGUUUCACUGCCCUAAAAAUCGUCUGUGCUCCACCUAUUAAUCUCUCGCUUUCUACCCCCCAGCCAAACCCCUGGUAACCACUGAUCCUUUUGCUA
This is a non-coding RNA of Macaca mulatta (Rhesus monkey), 2478 nucleotides long. NCBI's taxonomy places the organism in Eukaryota, Metazoa, Chordata, Mammalia, Primates, Cercopithecidae. The record is from RefSeq and is a predicted model, not a curated record.